RNAcentral lists this ribosomal RNA (497 nucleotides) under uncultured bacterium. RNAcentral describes it as "partial 16S ribosomal RNA". It matches the Rfam family "Bacterial small subunit ribosomal RNA", at positions 28 to 507 of the family's 1533-position model. The record is from RNAcentral.
GAUGAACGCUGGCGGCGUGCCUAAUACAUGCAAGUCGAGCGAACAGACGAGGAGCUUGCUCCUCUGACGUUAGCGGCGGACGGGUGAGUAACACGUGGAUAACCUACCUAUAAGACUGGGAUAACUUCGGGAAACCGGAGCUAAUACCGGAUAAUAUAUUGAACCGCAUGGUUCAAUAGUGAAAGACGGUUUUGCUGUCACUUAUAGAUGGAUCCGCGCCGCAUUAGAUAGUUGGUAAGGUAACGGCUUACCAAGGCAACGAUGCGUAGCCGACCUGAGAGAGGGAUCGGCCACAUGGGAACUGAGACAGGGUCCAGACUCCUAAGGGAGGCAGCAGUAGGGAAUCUUCCGCAAUGGUCGAAAGCCUGACGUAGCAACGCCGCGUGAGUGAUGAAGGUCUUCGGAUCGUAAAACUCUGUUAUCAGGGAAGAACAAAUGUGUAAGUAACUAUGCACGUCUUGACGGUACCUAAUCAGAAAGCCACGGCUAACUACGUG